Molecule: ribosomal RNA, 780 nt
Filed under: uncultured archaeon
Lineage: Archaea
Description: bacterial SSU rRNA
Rfam family: Archaeal small subunit ribosomal RNA
Source: RNAcentral
CAUUUGGGAGGGGCACCCCGGGAACUGGGACUAGUACCUGAUAGAUGGAAGCGCCUGGAAUGGUCUUCCAUCUAAAAGACGUUGAGGGCAUGCUUCUUAACGUCGCCCAAGGAUGGGACCGCACCCGAUCAGGUAGUUGGCGGGGUAAUGGCCCACCAAGCCUAUAACCGGUACGGGCCCUGAGAGGGGUAGCCCGGAGAUGGGGACUGAGACAAGGCCCCAGGCCCUACGGGGCGCAGCAGGCGCGAAACCUCCACAAUGUGCGUAAGCAUGAUGGGGUCACUCCGAGUGCCGUCCGCUGAGGAUGGCUUUUCUCUAGUUUAAGGAGCUGGAGGAAUAAGGGGAGGGCAAGACUGGUGUCAGCCGCCGCGGUAAUACCAGCUCCUCGAGUGGUGGGGACGAUUAUUUGGCCUAAAGCGUCCGUAACCGGCCUAGUAAGUCUCCGGUUAAAUCCGGUGAUUCAAUCAUCGGACUGCUGGAGAUACUGCUGGGCUAGGGGGCGGGAGAGGCCGACGGUAUUCCAGGGGUAGGGGUGAAAUCCUAUAAUCCCUGGAAGACCACCAGUGGCGAAGGCGGUCGGCUAGAACGCGCCCGACGGUGAGGGACGAAAGCUGGGGGAGCAAACCGGAUUAGAUACCCGGGUAGUCCCAGCUGUAAACGAUGCAGGCUAGGUGUUGGGAUGGCUACGAGCCGUUCCAGUGCCGCAGGGAAGCUAUUAGGCCUGCCGCCUGGGGAGUACGGUCGCAAGGCUGAAACUUAAAGGAAUUGGCGGGGGAGCAC